GCGGCGGAUGGGUGAGUAACACGUGGGGAACCUGCCCCAUAGUCUGGGAUACCACUUGGAAACAGGUGCUAAUACCGGAUAAGAAAGCAGAUCGCAUGAUCAGCUUAUAAAAGGCGGCGUAAGCUGUCGCUAUGGGAUGGCCCCGCGGUGCAUUAGCUAGUUGGUAGGGUAACGGCCUACCAAGGCAAUGAUGCAUAGCCGAGUUGAGAGACUGAUCGGCCACAUUGGGACUGAGACACGGCCCAAACUCCUACGGGAGGCAGCAGUAGGGAAUCUUCCACAAUGGACGAAAGUCUGAUGGAGCAACGCCGCGUGAGUGAAGAAGGUUUUCGGAUCGUAAAGCUCUGUUGUUGGUGAAGAAGGAUAGAGGUAGUAACUGGCCUUUAUUUGACGGUAAUCAACCAGAAAGUCACGGCUAACUACGUGCCAGCAGCCGCGGUAAUACAA
Molecule: ribosomal RNA, 447 nt
Filed under: Lactobacillus acidophilus
Lineage: Bacteria; Bacillati; Bacillota; Bacilli; Lactobacillales; Lactobacillaceae
Description: bacterial SSU rRNA
Rfam family: Bacterial small subunit ribosomal RNA
Source: RNAcentral